This 72-nucleotide transfer RNA is filed under the name Ovis aries (sheep). It matches the Rfam family "tRNA". From Rfam's summary of the family: Transfer RNA (tRNA) molecules are approximately 80 nucleotides in length. Their secondary structure includes four short double-helical elements and three loops (D, anti-codon, and T loops). Further hydrogen bonds mediate the characteristic L-shaped molecular structure. tRNAs have two regions of fundamental functional importance: the anti-codon, which is responsible for specific mRNA codon recognition, and the 3' end, to which the tRNAs corresponding amino acid is attached (by aminoacyl-tRNA synthetases). tRNAs cope with the degeneracy of the genetic code in two manners: having more than one tRNA (with a specific anti-codon) for a particular amino acid; and 'wobble' base-pairing, i.e. permitting non-standard base-pairing at the 3rd anti-codon position. The record is from Rfam by way of RNAcentral. Lineage: Eukaryota; Metazoa; Chordata; Mammalia; Artiodactyla; Bovidae.
UCCCUGGUGGUUUAGAGGGUAAAGCCUCUGCCUGCAAUGUGGGAGUCCCGGGUUGGAUCCCUGGCUUGGGAA